Molecule: transfer RNA, 104 nt
Organism: Beauveria bassiana D1-5
Lineage: Eukaryota; Fungi; Ascomycota; Sordariomycetes; Hypocreales; Cordycipitaceae
Rfam family: tRNA
About the family: Transfer RNA (tRNA) molecules are approximately 80 nucleotides in length.
Source: Rfam
GCGGCCAUAGAUUAGCUGGGAGAUCGUCAGACUGAAGUCCAACUUCAAUCCUACGGAUUUAGAUACCUAUCUGAAGGUCGUGUGUUCGAGUCACACUGGCCGCA